RNAcentral lists this non-coding RNA (46 nucleotides) under Trichobilharzia regenti. Lineage: Eukaryota; Metazoa; Platyhelminthes; Trematoda; Strigeidida; Schistosomatidae. The record is from RNAcentral.
GUACUGAUGAAGAGUCUCAAACUAGAACGAAACGGCUGUCCAGUAC